CGGGUCGCAGCACCAGUGAGGAAUAUUGCACAAUGGGGGGAACCUUGAUGCAGCAACGCCGCGUGGAGGAUGACGCAUUUCGGUGUGUAAACUCCUUUUAUAUGUCAAGAAAAUGACGGUAGCAUAUGAAUAAGCACCGGCUAACUCCGUGCCAGCAGCCGCGGUAAUACGGAGGGUGCAAGCGUUACUCGGAAUCACUGGGCGUAAAGGACGCGUAGGCGGGUUGGAAAGUCAGGUGUGAAAUCCUACAGCUUAACUGUAGAGCUGCACUUGAAACUUCUAAUCUAGAGUAUGGGAGGGGGAGAUGGAAUUAGUGGUGUAGGGGUAAAAUCCGUAGAUAUCACUAGGAAUACCUAAAGCGAAGGCGAUCUCCUGGAACAUUACUGACGCUAAGGCGUGAAAGCGUGGGGAGCAAACAGGAUUAGAUACCCUCGUAGUC
Molecule: ribosomal RNA, 439 nt
Filed under: uncultured bacterium
Lineage: Bacteria
Description: partial 16S ribosomal RNA
Rfam family: Bacterial small subunit ribosomal RNA
Source: RNAcentral